Molecule: ribosomal RNA, 403 nt
Filed under: Verrucomicrobiota bacterium
Lineage: Bacteria; Pseudomonadati; Verrucomicrobiota
Description: Verrucomicrobia bacterium partial 16S ribosomal RNA
Rfam family: Bacterial small subunit ribosomal RNA
Source: RNAcentral
UGGGGAAUAUUGCACAAUGGGGGAAACCCUGAUGCAGCGACGCCGCGUGAGCGAAGAAGGCUUUCGAGUCGUAAAGCUCUGUCCUAUGAGAAGAUAAUGACGGUAUCAUAGGAGGAAGCCCUGGCUAAAUACGAGCCAGCAGCCGCGGUAAUACGUAUGGGGCGAGCGUUGUCCGGAAUUAUUGGGCGUAAAGGGUACGUAGGUGGUUUUUUAAGUCAGGUGUCAAAGCGUGGAGCUUAACUCCAUUAAGCACUUGAAACUGAAAGACUUGAGUGGAGGAGAGGAAAGUGGAAUUCCUAGUGUUGCGGUGGAAUGCGUAGGUAUUAGGGGGAAUACCGGUGGGGGAGGAGGCUUUCUCGACUUUAACUGACGCCCAGGUACGAAAGCGGGGGGGGGAAACAAG